CCCUACGGGGCGCAGCAGGCGCGAAAACUUUACAAUGCGGGAAACCGUGAUAAGGGAACUCCGAGUGCCCGUUAAAUCGGGCUGUCCAUCUGUGUAAAUAACGGGUGAAGAAAGGGCCGGGCAAGACCGGUGCCAGCCGCCGCGGUAAUACCGGCGGCUCGAGUGGUGGCCACUAUUACUGGGCUUAAAGCGUUCGUAGCUGGUUUGUUAAGUCUCUGGGGAAAUCUUCCGGCUUAACCGGAGGGCGUCUCAGGGAUACUGGCAGACUAGGGACCGGAAGAGGUGAGGGGUACUCCAGGGGUAGGAGUGAAAUCCUGUAAUCC
This 323-nucleotide ribosomal RNA is filed under the name uncultured archaeon. RNAcentral's name for it is "bacterial SSU rRNA". It matches the Rfam family "Archaeal small subunit ribosomal RNA", at positions 321 to 648 of the family's 1478-position model. The record is from RNAcentral.